Molecule: long non-coding RNA, 1112 nt
Organism: Melospiza melodia melodia
Lineage: Eukaryota; Metazoa; Chordata; Aves; Passeriformes; Passerellidae
Exons: 2
Source: RefSeq, a predicted model, not a curated record
AAGAAGAAAGAAAGAAAGAAAACCCAUAUAUAUGAGACAGGCUUGGAUAUUGGACCAGAGGAGAGAUCAGUCCCAGGAGGAUGUUGGUACAGGAAAGGAGGCGGCUCUCGUUGCUCUGCCAGUGUAAUGAUGGUGCUCACACAUGUAGGACUCCUCGGGUGCGGGGUAUCCUUUGGUCUCUGGGCUAAACUGGCUACAAGGCAUUCAAUUAAGAUUUUUGAUUCGUGUUGAUGGAAGAUAUGGAUGUUUCAUGACUGCUUCCAGUAAUCACUUGGCCAGAAGUCCUAGGAGCAUCCUGGAACCCCACCCACCCUGCCAGACAAUGGAUCAGCACAGGAUACAAAAACUAUGCUUACCAUAAGGAAUUGGUGAUCUAAAGAAGGUCAAUUUCAUGGUACAUGGCUUCAUUUUCAUACAAAUAUACAUUCUAGUGUAUUUUCACAACCUAUACUCAUUACAUAUAUAUAAUGUGUAUGUCAUUACAUAAAUAUAAUGUGUAUGUGUAUAGUAACUUCAGCAGAAUUUAUACGGUGAAUUUAGAGUGCAGAUUUUUAAUAUCCCAUUUUAAGAAUUUCUGAUUCUCUGAAAGUAGUACUAUCAGGUUAUAUUUAAGUAAGAAAAACUACCUGGGGUUAAGUUCACUGUCUGCUUUGUGGUGGGUUUUUGUUUCAGAAUUAACAGAGUUUAAUAACACAGUCUGGAAUCUCCUUGCAAUGAAAAGUGCUUGCACAGACCCUCCUCCUGUCAAGAGUUCUAAUGGCAACCUGUGACCCAGCUGAAAUUGAAAGUCCUGUGGCAUCCUUGAGUAGAGGGACAAUGUUGGUCCUUCAAUGCCAUGGACUGAAGCUGUUCUGUGCUCUGCAUUUGCAGAACUCACUUGCCUCUGCCAGAAAAUGAAAGUUUCUCUCCUCUGGUGUGGAGACACCACAUCAUUGCCUUGCUGGCUUGAUUGCUCUGCAGCCAGCCUGAAACAAUACACCACCAACAGAUGUGUGAACAUUUCCAUUCAGUGGAAUGAAGUGUUUGCUGCAAAACAGAGUUCUGGCUAUUUGAAUUGCCUCAUGUGCAUCAAGCUGUGAAAGAGGUUUAAAGUAAAUCAUGAAUAUCAUAAA